Long non-coding RNA from Malania oleifera, 555 nucleotides. RefSeq lists it as uncharacterized. The record is from RefSeq and is a predicted model, not a curated record. NCBI's taxonomy places the organism in Eukaryota, Viridiplantae, Streptophyta, Magnoliopsida, Santalales, Ximeniaceae. The transcript is spliced from 3 exons.
GAACUCUUCCAGCUGUAUGGUGGCAUAUUUGAGAUUGGGAAGGGAAAAACUAAUUUCUUUGUUACCUAAAGAGUAAUGGACCAUGUUGACCAGCUGAGGAACACAAGUAACAGAUCACACGUUAGUCAGCUAGAGAGCACAACUUCAACAACAUCUAGGCACAAUGGUAACUGAUGUGCUUGAUGUACUGUAAUGAAAAAGGAUGAAAAAGAGAAGAGAAGAAGAAAAAGAUGGAACGGCAAAAAGUCUGUUGGGUGAGCUUGAUAAAGGUUCAGAAUAGCAACCAGCCAGGAUGAGGCAUUGUGUUUCUUUGGUUCCUGGAAGAGAACCUUGCUGAACUCGUGAUAUGACCAUUGUUCCAGUUGUGAGAUAAUUUGAAAUGAGGCAUUGGUUUUGCUUGGUUUCAGGAAAGGAAGCUGUGCUGAACUUUUGGGAUGACAAUUAUUCCAGCAGAGAGAUAGCUUGAAAUUAUUUUUAUCAUACGUUUAGCAGUUGUAAUGAUUGGUAAUGAUGAGUGGUGUCAUUUUUGAACAUUAUAAAGGCCUCUCAUUUUUU